Molecule: ribosomal RNA, 268 nt
Filed under: uncultured bacterium
Lineage: Bacteria
Description: partial 16S ribosomal RNA
Rfam family: Bacterial small subunit ribosomal RNA
Source: RNAcentral
CCGGCGACCGGCGCACGGGUGAGUAACACGUAUGUAACCUGCCCUAUGCAGGGGGAUGACCCGGAGAAAUCCGGCCUAAUACCGCGUAACACCUUUUGGGAGCAUUCCCGGGAGGUUAAAGGAGAGAUCCGGCAUAGGAUGGACAUGCGUCGCAUUAGGUAGACGGCGGGGUAACGGCCCACCGUGCCGACGAUGCGUAGGGGUUCUGAGAGGAAGGUCCCCCACACUGGUACUGAGACACGGACCAGACUCCUACGGAAGGCAGCAG